UUUCUCUUAGCUUAAGUAAAGUGUCAAUUUGAAGCGUUGAAGAUAAUUAUAUUAGGGAAAC
This 61-nucleotide transfer RNA is filed under the name Hydatigera parva. RNAcentral describes it as "tRNA-Phe". Lineage: Eukaryota; Metazoa; Platyhelminthes; Cestoda; Cyclophyllidea; Taeniidae. The record is from RNAcentral.